This 861-nucleotide ribosomal RNA is filed under the name Cryptomyces maximus. Its description in RNAcentral is "mitochondrial SSU rRNA". It matches the Rfam family "Bacterial small subunit ribosomal RNA", at positions 420 to 1160 of the family's 1533-position model. Lineage: Eukaryota; Fungi; Ascomycota; Leotiomycetes; Rhytismatales; Rhytismataceae. The record is from RNAcentral.
GGGAUGUAUAGUCCUCUCAUGAGGCUAGUUAUGUUUAUAAAAGUAUUACGAUAUGAAUAAACAUAAUACCAACUACGUUGGAUAAAAUUCUAGGUAGAAGACUGAUUAUGACAAUUUUCUAUCUAUAUGUCUUGACCAAAUUACGUGCCAGCAGUCGCGGUAAUACGUAGAAGACUAGUGUUAUUCAUCUUUAAUAGGUUUAAAGGGUACCUAGACGGUAUAAUUAACCCACAACAGGGAAAUAUUUAAUACUAGAGUUUAAUGUAGGAAGGGAGUAUUUAGAGAGUAGGGAUGAAAUCCUUUAAUACUCUGACGACUGGUAAAGGCGAAAGCACUCUUCUAUGUAAUAACUGACGUUAAGGGACGAAGGCUUGGGGAGCGAACAGGAUUAGGUACCCUAGUAGUCCAUGCAGAUAAUUAUGAAUGCCAUAGGUUAGAUAUAUUUAGUCUAUAAAUGAAAGUGUAAGCAUUCCACCUCAAGAGUACUGUGGCAACGCUGGAACUGAAAUCAUUAGACCGUUUCUGAGAACAGUAGUGAAGUAUGUUAUAUAAUUCGAUGGUACACGUAAAACCUUACCACAACUUGAAUGGUGUCCAAAUUUAAUUAAAUAUUAAAAGCUGCCAUUGAUAACUUUAAGGUAGAUCUUGGCUAACCCUCUAGUUGCAACCCUUGGGCGGCAAAUUUCAUUUAGAACAAAGGGCUUUAGCCAAUAUUAAAUUAAUAGGAUGUUACAACGUGUUGCACGGUUGUCUUCAGCUAAUGUCGUGAGAUUUUGGUUAGUUCCAUAAAAUUAGCGUAAACCCCGGUUUUAUUUUAUAAUUCUUAUGAUAAAGCAGUUCGUCACUAUAUUGAUAUUGAUA